RNAcentral lists this ribosomal RNA (254 nucleotides) under uncultured bacterium. Its description in RNAcentral is "partial 16S ribosomal RNA". It matches the Rfam family "Bacterial small subunit ribosomal RNA", at positions 524 to 776 of the family's 1533-position model. The record is from RNAcentral.
UAGAGGGGGUGCAAGCGUUAAUCGGAAUCACUGGGCGUAAAGGGCGCGUAGGUGGGAGUUUAAGUCAGAUGUGAAAGCCCUGGGCUUAACCUAGGAAUUGCAUUUGAUACUGGACUGUCUAGAGUGAGGUAGAGGGUAGUGGAAUUCCCGGUGUAGCGGUCAAAUGCGUAGAUAUCGGGAAGAACACCGGUGGCGAAGGCGGCUACCUGGACCUUAACUGACAAUGAGGCGCGAAAGCGUGGGUAGCGAACAGG